ACCGAACGCUGCCGGCGUGCUUACCCCAUGCAAGUCGACGGGAGCGACGAACGGGUGCGUAACACGUGAGUAACCUGCCCUUUUCUUUGGGAUAAGCCUGGGCAACUGGGUCUAAUACUGGCUGGCUUGGGAUGGGCUCGCGGCUUAUCAGCUUGUGGGUGGGGUGUUGGGUUACCAAGGCUUUGACGGGUAGCCGGCCUGAGAGGUUGGGCGGUGACACUGGGACUGAGAUACGGCCCAGACUCUUACGUGAGGCGGCAGUGGGGGCUAUGGAACAAUGGACGGAAGACGGAUGCAGCGACGUCGUGUGGGGGAUGAAGGUCGUCGGGUUGUAAACUCCUUGAGCCCGCGGAACGGUAGUGGGUAAAGAAGCGCCGGCUAACUACGUGCCAGCAGCCGCGGUAAUAC
This 408-nucleotide ribosomal RNA is filed under the name uncultured bacterium. Its description in RNAcentral is "partial 16S ribosomal RNA". It matches the Rfam family "Bacterial small subunit ribosomal RNA", at positions 30 to 526 of the family's 1533-position model. The record is from RNAcentral.